AGUGCCCCUUCUCCAGGAUCAAGGAACUGGGGCGGGGGGUGUUUCCUGGACCCCAGUCCUCCGAAUCAGCUCCUAGAGUGGAACCAGGAAGGAUUCUGGAGCCACAGAAGAUAGACAGAUGGAAGGUGGGGACCAAAGUGAGGAAGAGCCGAGGGAACGCAGCCAGGCAGGUGGAAUGGGAACUCUCUGGAGCCAAGAGAGCACUCCAGAAGAGAGGCUGCCCGUGGAAGGGAGCAGGCCAUGGGCAGUGGCCAGGCGGGUGCUGACAGCUAUCCUGAUUUUGGGCCUGCUCCUUUGUUUUUCUGUGCUUUUGUUCUACAACUUCCAGAACUGUGGCCCUCGCCCCUGUGAGACAUCUGUGUGUUUGGAUCUCCGGGAUCAUUACCUGGCCUCUGGGAACACAAGUGUGGCCCCCUGCACCGACUUCUUCAGCUUUGCCUGUGGAAGGGCCAAAGAGACCAAUAAUUCUUUUCAGGAGCUUGCCACAAAGAACAAAAACCGACUUCGGAGAAUACUGGAGGUCCAGAAUUCCUGGCACCCAGGCUCUGGGGAGGAGAAAGCCUUCCAGUUCUACAACUCCUGCAUGGAUACACUUGCCAUUGAAGCUGCAGGGACUGGUCCCCUCAGACAAGUUAUUGAGGAGCUUGGAGGCUGGCGCAUCUCUGGUAAAUGGACUUCCUUAAACUUUAACCGAACGCUGAGACUUCUGAUGAGUCAGUAUGGCCAUUUCCCUUUCUUCAGAGCCUACCUAGGACCUCAUCCUGCCUCUCCACACACACCAGUCAUCCAGAUAGACCAGCCAGAGUUUGAUGUUCCCCUCAAGCAAGAUCAAGAACAGAAGAUCUAUGCCCAGAUCUUUCGGGAAUACCUGACUUACCUGAAUCAGCUGGGAACCUUGCUGGGAGGAGACCCAAGCAAGGUGCAAGAACACUCUUCCUUGUCAAUCUCCAUCACUUCACGGCUGUUCCAGUUUCUGAGGCCCCUGGAGCAGCGGCGGGCACAGGGCAAGCUCUUCCAGAUGGUCACUAUCGACCAGCUCAAGGAAAUGGCCCCCGCCAUCGACUGGUUGUCCUGCUUGCAAGCGACAUUCACACCGAUGUCCCUGAGCCCUUCUCAGUCCCUCGUGGUCCAUGACGUGGAAUAUUUGAAAAACAUGUCACAACUGGUGGAGGAGAUGCUGCUAAAGCAGAGGGACUUUCUGCAGAGCCACAUGAUCUUAGGGCUGGUGGUGACCCUUUCUCCAGCCCUGGACAGUCAAUUCCAGGAGGCACGCAGAAAGCUCAGCCAGAAACUGCGGGAACUGACAGAGCAACCACCCAUGGAGGCUUUUGAAACCCCAGGAUGAUGCCUCCUAGAGGCCUUGCUGUCAAAUUCAAUAGGCAAUAACAUGAAGGAUUUACUCAGCCAGGCUCAUGAGACCAGCUCUGAGGAAGCUGUGCUUUUCUUGUACUGAUCGGUGAUGUGCAUCACCCUAAGGGAUAGUAAACAGAUGAAACCCAGAAAGUCCAGUCAAAAGAGCACCCUCUGGGAAUGAAGAUCUAGUGAAGACUGGGGAGACAGAUGAGGAAAGAGUCCUGAACAGGAGCCACUCAUUCCAGCUUUGUCUCCAUAGCCUGCCCGCCCACGAUGGAUGAAGUGCGUGGAGGAGACAGGCACGUUCUUCGAGCCCACGCUGGCGGCUUUGUUUGUUCGUGAGGCCUUUGGCCCGAGCACCCGAAGUGCUGUAUGUGAGAGCUCUUCCCAGCCCACAUCCCUCCACCCCUUCCUACCCAAAGCAGCCUUCCCUCUUCUAUUAACUUUGACUUUCUCAGUGGUGUGUGUGAUUGGGGAAUUGGGCAGUCAGAGAAGGGCCACUG
This 1856-nucleotide unclassified non-coding RNA is filed under the name Homo sapiens (human). RNAcentral's name for it is "Kell metallo-endopeptidase (Kell blood group) (ENSG00000276615.2)". Lineage: Eukaryota; Metazoa; Chordata; Mammalia; Primates; Hominidae. The record is from RNAcentral.